AUACGGAGGAUGCAAGCGUUAUCCGGAUUUAUUGGGUUUAAAGGGUGCGUAGGCGGGACUGUAAGUCAGGGGUGAAAUACUGCAGCUUAACUGUAGCAUUGCCUUUGAAACUGCCGUUCUUGAGUACAGUUGAGGUAGGCGGAAUGUGGUGUGUAGCGGUGAAAUGCAUAGAUAUACCACAGAACGCCGAUUGCGAAGGCAGCUUACUAAGCUGUCACUGACGCUGAGGCACGAAAGCGUGGGGAUCAAACAGGAUUAGAUACCCUGGUAGUCCACGCUGUAAACGAUGAUUACUGGUUGUUAGCGAUAUAUAGCUAGUGACUGAGCGAAAGCAUUAAGUAAUCCACCUGGGGAGUACGUCGGCAACGAUGAAACUCAAAUGAAUUGGCGGGG
RNAcentral lists this ribosomal RNA (393 nucleotides) under uncultured bacterium. Its description in RNAcentral is "partial 16S ribosomal RNA". It matches the Rfam family "Bacterial small subunit ribosomal RNA", at positions 523 to 918 of the family's 1533-position model. The record is from RNAcentral.